RNAcentral lists this ribosomal RNA (465 nucleotides) under Vreelandella stevensii. RNAcentral describes it as "partial 16S ribosomal RNA". It matches the Rfam family "Bacterial small subunit ribosomal RNA", at positions 338 to 795 of the family's 1533-position model. The record is from RNAcentral. Lineage: Bacteria; Pseudomonadati; Pseudomonadota; Gammaproteobacteria; Oceanospirillales; Halomonadaceae.
CCUACGGGGGGCUGCAGUGGGGAAUAUUGGACAAUGGGGGCAACCCUGAUCCAGCCAUGCCGCGUGUGUGAAGAAGGCCCUCGGGUUGUAAAGCACUUUCAGUGAGGAAGAACGCCUGGUGGUUAAUACCCAUCAGGAAAGACAUCACUCACAGAAGAAGCACCGGCUAACUCCGUGCCAGCAGCCGCGGUAAUACGGAGGGUGCGAGCGUUAAUCGGAAUUACUGGGCGUAAAGCGCGCGUAGGUGGCUUGAUAAGCCGGUUGUGAAAGCCCCGGGCUCAACCUGGGAACGGCAUCCGGAACUGUCAAGCUAGAGUGCAGGAGAGGAAGGUAGAAUUCCCGGUGUAGUGGUGAAAUGCGUAGAGAUCGGGAGGAAUACCAGUGGCGAAGGCGGCCUUCUGGACUGACACUGACACUGAGGUGCGAAAGCGUGGGUAGCAAACAGGAUUAGAUACCCGGGUAGUC